This 271-nucleotide ribosomal RNA is filed under the name uncultured prokaryote. RNAcentral's name for it is "partial 16S ribosomal RNA". It matches the Rfam family "Bacterial small subunit ribosomal RNA", at positions 524 to 794 of the family's 1533-position model. The record is from RNAcentral.
UACGGAGGAUCCGAGCGUUAUCCGGAUUUAUUGGGUUUAAAGGGUGCGUAGGUGGAAAUGUAAGUCAGUGGUGAAAUCCUGCAGCUUAACUGUAGAAUAGCCGUUGAAACUGUGUUUCUUGAGUACAUUUGAGGUAGGCGGAAUGUGGUGUGUAGCGGUGAAAUGCAUAGAUAUACCACAGAACACCGAUUGCGAAGGCAGCUUACUAAACCAUAACUGACACUGAAGCACGAAAGCGUGGGUAUCAAACAGGAUUAGAUACCCGGGUAGU